Lolium rigidum is the source of this 465-nucleotide long non-coding RNA. RefSeq lists it as uncharacterized. NCBI's taxonomy places the organism in Eukaryota, Viridiplantae, Streptophyta, Magnoliopsida, Poales, Poaceae. The transcript has 3 exons. The record is from RefSeq and is a predicted model, not a curated record.
ACAACGGAGAAGCCUCUAUGCAAAGUAUAGUUGUUUCUUUCUUGCUAUCAUUGAUUUCUUACUAAUGCGAGGUGUACAUACUUCUUAGCAUUUUAUAGGAAACUGCAAUAUAAACCGCAAACCUUUUUAAAAAUUCUCGGCAACUUUAAAUUUCAGAGAAACAAUUUGGUCAGAGUAGACAACCUGACAGAUGAAGAGCCUGGUGGCCAGAGGAAGAAGCUGAAAACAAAAGCAACAAGCAAUGCUUGUCCUGAAGAGCUAGUUCAGCACAUUCCUUCACCAUCAAGCUGUAAUCCAACCACAGUGCAUCAAAAUAAUCCAACAGUUCCAUUCGGGAACAUUUCAAUGCGACAGAAGGCAACAACACAGCAUGCAAGGACCAAUAAUGCGAAAACCAAUCUGCAUGUUGAGGAUGGCAAUGCGAUGCUUGAAUGCAACUCAAAGGGCUGCAAGAGAAUGUUUACA